This 346-nucleotide long non-coding RNA is filed under the name Panax ginseng (ginseng). RNAcentral describes it as "long non-coding RNA (PGIN_LNC005647)". The record is from RNAcentral. Lineage: Eukaryota; Viridiplantae; Streptophyta; Magnoliopsida; Apiales; Araliaceae.
CCCAUACAUGCAACAAAAAUGAUACAAAUUAUUAGCAAUCUCACUAUAAUGAAAUGUAACUAUUCAAUCUUACAAGUAUCUAGAUAAUGAAUGAAGGAUAAACAAGUAGCUGCAAUUCAGAAAGAGCAAAUAUACAACCAGAUAUCUGAGGAAAUUUCAAAGAAAUUCGUCAAACGAACUAUGUGCUUAUGAGGUUGAGGAGAAGAUAUAGAUGGGAAAUAAUUCCAAUCCAAAGUUAAUGAAAUGCUAUAAAAGCAUCUUUGAACAACAUGGGAAUACUAUUGGUCUAGCAGUUGGGAAGAAAUCGAAGAAUUUAACUAAAAAUUAAUUCAUUUCCCCAAAUUUC